GGGACCCUGUCUUUGAUCCAGCGAUCACAGGGCUUCUCUCUCUCCUUUCGGUGUCUGGUGCACCUCCCAUCUCAUCUACCCUUUUCCCACUUUCUGGUCCAGCAAGAGGAACUCACAGCAUCUUUUCUUACUUCCGGAGGAAUUUAUUCCACAUGUGUCUGAUUCAUUUGCGUUUAUAGAAACUCGAAAUCUCCAGCGUCCAAAAAGCCUUUCAACUAUUUUUUCUUUCUUAGAAACAGGAAGUUGUGUUUGGCUUAGGACAGACUCUUCCGUGCGCCUGGGACUUACAAGAUGUUUGGAAUGAGGAAUGGUGAGGUCUGUCUGUUUUCUUGAAGCUGCCAGCUCAGCCAGGGGACCAUAGGAAAAUGCCCCAGGCUAGAAGAGAGCUUUCUCAUAAAGACAUACUGUCCUUCAGCUGAGGGCCACAAAGAUCUGUUUUCUGAGUCCCUGAGCUGCAGCUGUUGAAUUUCCAGACACAAACAAGUAUGUAUUCUGUGAGUCUUGCCGAGCCCACACAGCAAGGAAGAGCCAAGCUGGAUUCCAUUCUGCUUCGCACAUCAGCAGCUCUGCUGCCAGCUGAACUCCAGGGCAAAAGCUGUGCUGGUAAUGAUGCAGCCAGUAGGGAUGGCACAGCUGGACUGGCGUGGGCUGCUAAUGAGGGACACACUUGGCCUUGAUUAUUUUGGGGAGAAUGAGAAAUGAAAAGAGAUGAAGAAUUGCAGAAAUAUAUAUCGGCCUCAACAAAAUUGGUGCAUAGCAAGGGAAAAUCUGGUUUUACUAGUCAUCAUCAACAUGCCUGUGUGUGUGCUUGUUUAUGUUUAGGUAAGCCUGGCCUCCCACUCACUAAUGAGUCGGUAGACAGGAAAGGCAGACAGGAAAAGUGGUCAACUCUGUCAACAGCCACCGUGCACCACAAAGGUGAUCAGCUAAGGGCACGAUCAUACAGAAGACUGAGCCAGAGACUUCCUCUGAGCCAGGAAGAGAUGAGGAGCUAUGAUGCAGGAGAUAGGAUUUUGGAAACUCUCAGGUAGGUUGCGAUGGCUAGUGAAGAAUGCCAUUCUGUGUAAAAGGGCUGAUUGGGAAAGCUGAAAGCUGCUUGGGCCCCAAGAGUUGUGAGAUGAGGAUAGAACUUGGUGUGGAAAGGAGCUGAGGGCUCAGAAUUCCUUAGAUCCUAAGAGAGUCUUGUAUCUCCAGCUGGUCAAUAGGCAAAAGUAAGGAUGGGGACACACGCAGAGGGAAAGGGGUGAGUCUUUCUCAAGGAAAGGAGCCCAGAGACAUCAUGUAACCACUGUUCCCAAGUCGGAAGUUCCCACUAGAGCAGCAGU
Molecule: long non-coding RNA, 1325 nt
Organism: Pteropus alecto (black flying fox)
Lineage: Eukaryota; Metazoa; Chordata; Mammalia; Chiroptera; Pteropodidae
Exons: 4
Source: RefSeq, a predicted model, not a curated record